AUGAACGCUGGCGGCGUGCCUAAUCCAUGCAAGUCGAGCGAACAGACGAGGAGCUUGCUCCUUUGACGUUAGCGGCGGACGGGUGAGUAACACGUGGGUAACCUACCUAUAAGACUGGGAUAACUUCGGGAAACCGGAGCUAAUACCGGAUAAUAUUUCGAACCGCAUGGUUCGAUAGUGAAAGAUGGCUCUGCUAUCACUUAUAGAUGGACCUGCGCCGUAUUAGCUAGUUGGUAAGGUAACGGCUUACCAAGGCAACGAUACGUAGCCGACCUGAGAGGGUGAUCGGCCACACUGGAACUGAGACACGGUCCAGACUCCUACGGGAGGCAGCAGUAGGGAAUCUUCCGCAAUGGGCGAAAGCCUGACGGAGCAACGCCGCGUGAGUGAUGAAGGUCUUCGGAUCGUAAAACUCUGUUAUUAGGGAAGAACAAACGUGUAAGUAACUGUGCACGUCUUGACGGUACCUAAUCAGAAAGCCACGGCUAACUACGUG
Molecule: ribosomal RNA, 496 nt
Filed under: uncultured bacterium
Lineage: Bacteria
Description: partial 16S ribosomal RNA
Rfam family: Bacterial small subunit ribosomal RNA
Source: RNAcentral